CUGUGUCCUAGAAAAUGUUCAUUCAUUAGUGCCAGGAGGAAAACAACCCUGCUUUCUCAUACCCUGUAAUCUUAGUGUUUUCAAAACCUCAUGGACUUUUCAUGGAAUGAUGUGCAACUUUUGCCACUAAUCUCAAAGUUCUUUGGUGAUAAAACCUGCAAGUGUGAAGUUGAUAAAUCUGAUUCCAGCUGAUAAAGGAACAGGAGGAUCAGAGAUAAUUAAAAGGAAAUAAAGGAU
This 237-nucleotide long non-coding RNA is filed under the name Chloebia gouldiae (Gouldian finch). RNAcentral describes it as "Erythrura gouldiae (Gouldian finch) lncRNA (ENSEGOG00005013238.1)". The record is from RNAcentral. Lineage: Eukaryota; Metazoa; Chordata; Aves; Passeriformes; Passeridae.